UUUCCGUAGGUGAACCUGCGGAAGGAUCAUUAUUUUAUGACCGAGGGGCGAGGGCUGUCGCUGACCCGCAUGGUCGUGCACUCCCUACGGCCCUCCCACGCAUCCAUCCCCCCCCUAUAUACACCACCGCCUUGGUCCCCCUUAUGCUUGUCCGAAGGAGGGCUUACAUUUUCACUCACACUUUCUAUUCUGUGUAGACUGUCUUUUUUGUUUUUGGGAUCACGCAGUCAAUACAACUUUCAGCAACGGAUCUCUUGCCCGUCGCAUCGUUGACGAACG
RNAcentral lists this unclassified non-coding RNA (279 nucleotides) under plant metagenome. RNAcentral's name for it is "partial contains small subunit ribosomal RNA, internal transcribed spacer 1, and 5.8S ribosomal RNA". The record is from RNAcentral.